Mycobacterium ulcerans str. Harvey is the source of this 1913-nucleotide non-coding RNA. The record is from Rfam. Lineage: Bacteria; Bacillati; Actinomycetota; Actinomycetes; Mycobacteriales; Mycobacteriaceae.
AAGAGUGCGUAAUAGCUCACUGGUCAAGUGAUUGUGCGCCGAUAAUGUAGCGGGGCUCAAGCACACCGCCGAAGCCGCGACAACCGCAAGGUUGGGUAGGGGAGCGUCCCUCAUUCAGCGAAGCUGCCGGGUAACCGGUGGUGGAGGAUGGGGAGUGAGAAUGCAGGCAUGAGUAGCGAUAAGGCAAGUGAGAACCUUGCCCGCCGAAAGACCAAGGGUUCCUGGGCCAGGCCAGUCCGCCCAGGGUGAGUCGGGACCUAAGGCGAGGCCGACAGGCGUAGUCGAUGGACAACGGGUUGAUAUUCCCGUACCCGUGUGUGCGCGCCCGUGAUGAAUCAGCGGUACUAACCACCCAAAACCGGAUCGAUCAUUCCUCUUCGGGGGCGUGGAGUUCCGGGGCUGCGUGGAACCUUCGUUGGUAGUAGUCAAGCGACGGGGUGACGCAGGAAGGCAGCCGUACCAGUCAGUGGUAAUACUGGGGCAAGCCCGUAGGGAGAGCGAUAGGCAAAUCCGUCGCUCAUUAAUCCUGAGAGGUGAUGCAUAGCCGAUUGAGGCGAAUUCGGUCAUCCUCUGCUGCCAAGAAAAGCCUCUAGCGAGCGCACACACGGCCCGUACCCCAAACCAACACAGGUGGUCAGGUAGAGAAUACCAAGGCGUACGAGAUAACUAUGGUUAAGGAACUCGGCAAAAUGCCCCCGUAACUUCGGGAGAAGGGGGACCGGAAUACCGUGAACACCCUUGCGGUGGGAGCGGGAUUCGGUCGCAGAAACCAGUGGGGAGCGACUGUUUACUAAAAACACAGGUCCGUGCGAAGUCGCAAGACGAUGUAUACGGACUGACGCCUGCCCGGUGCUGGAAGGUUAAGAGGACCCGUUAAUUCGUAAGGGUGAAGCGGAGAAUUUAAGCCCCAGUAAACGGCGGUGGUAACUAUAACCAUCCUAAGGUAGCGAAAUUCCUUGUCGGGUAAGUUCCGACCUGCACGAAUGGCGUAACGACUUCCCAACUGUCUCAACCAUAGACUCGGCGAAAUUGCACUACGAGUUAAGAUGCUCGUUACGCGCGGCAGGACGAAAAGACCCCGGGACCUUCACUACAACUUGGUAUUGGUGUUCGGUUCGGUUUGUGUAGGAUAGGUGGGAGACUGUGAAACUCCAACGCCAGUUGGGGCGGAGUCAUUGUUGAAAUACCACUCUGAUCGUAUUGGACACCUAACGUCGAACCCUGAACCGGGUUCACGGACAGUGCCUGGCGGGUAGUUUAACUGGGGCGGUUGCCUCCUAAAAUGUAACGGAGGCGCCCAAAGGUUCCCUCAACCUGGACGGCAAUCAGGUGACGAGUGUAAGUGCACAAGGGAGCUUGACUGCGAGACCUACAAGUCAAGCAGGGACGAAAGUCGGGACUAGUGAUCCGGCACCUCUGAGUGGAAGGGGUGUCGCUCAACGGAUAAAAGGUACCCCGGGGAUAACAGGCUGAUCUUCCCCAAGAGUCCAUAUCGACGGGAUGGUUUGGCACCUCGAUGUCGGCUCGUCGCAUCCUGGGGCUGGAGCAGGUCCCAAGGGUUGGGCUGUUCGCCCAUUAAAGCGGCACGCGAGCUGGGUUUAGAACGUCGUGAGACAGUUCGGUCUCUAUCCGCCGCGCGCGUCAGAAACUUGAGGAAACCUGUCCCUAGUACGAGAGGACCGGGACGGACGAACCUCUGGUACACCAGUUGUCCCACCAGGGGCACCGCUGGAUAGCCACGUUCGGAAAGGAUAACCGCUGAAAGCAUCUAAGCGGGAAACCUUCUCCAAGAUCAGGUUUCUCACCCACUUGGUGGGAUAAGGCCCCCGCAGACCACGGGUUCGAUAGGUCAGACCUGGAAGCACAGUAAUGUGUGAAGGGAACUGGCACUAACCGGCCGAAAACUUACCAAC